Molecule: long non-coding RNA, 290 nt
Organism: Anoplophora glabripennis (Asian longhorned beetle)
Lineage: Eukaryota; Metazoa; Arthropoda; Insecta; Coleoptera; Cerambycidae
Exons: 2
Source: RefSeq, a predicted model, not a curated record
AAGAAGCAGACGAAGAAGAAGUUGUCAUAAAUCCGUCCUUGUCAAUGACAAUUUGUCAUUUUAUUGGGGUUUGAUUAUCUAAUCGAGUGCAAAAAAGCAAACAUGUUCGCUGUCAACGCUACGAGAAUUGCUGCAACAGCGCAAUCCGCUGUAAGGCAGUCAUCCAGGCAAAUGUCCGUUGUCUCUGGUCCCCCUCAAGUUAAGAUUUCGCCAGCAGAAAAAGUUGUUCAUGCCGUUAUAAUUGCCGCUGGAAUUUUCGCAAUACCCUCUUGGGUACUUGUGCACAUAAA